This 1071-nucleotide long non-coding RNA is filed under the name Piliocolobus tephrosceles (Ugandan red Colobus). RNAcentral's name for it is "lncRNA (ENSPTEG00000029739.1)". The record is from RNAcentral. Lineage: Eukaryota; Metazoa; Chordata; Mammalia; Primates; Cercopithecidae.
GAGAGUCACUGUUACCACAGUUAUGUCACCCAUUAGCCAUAAAUUGCUGUUUGUAUCAAAGCGCAUGCUGCUUUUCUUGCACUGUUUCCCUUUCGCAGGAACAUGUUGGUGUUUGCUAGUGAAUUGGCCAGCUCUGCUUGCUGUGUGGCAUUGUUCUCUUCGAAGGCUGCUUUGCAGUUUGUAUUUACACUACAGAUUGGUGAAUUUGCCAAUGUCCUCACUGUGAUUAUGUGUAUAUUGCUGUUUAAAUUUUGUAUAUGUGUAUAAAAGGAAAAAUCUUCACCUAGAGAUUAUUUCUGAAAAAUGUAUUGUAAAAAUAAUUUUGUGGCAUUUCUAGUCCCUUUUUUGAAUGAACCAAUUAUACUUUAUUUGGUCUCCUAUGUAGCAUAUCAGAAAACACGACAAAACUGUUACCAUGAACAAACAUUGCCAGAAUUAACCUUACUGUUUAAGAGGCCAACUUCUGGAAGGAGUGGUGGCUGGCCUAGGCAGAUUUGGAUCUGUGAAGAAUUGAUUCAUUUUCAAAAUCAUUCCAUAAAGUGAAAAAAUUACACAGUUCUUUAAAUUUGAUCAACUGUAGCUUUAUUUAAAGCAAAUGUAAAUCAUAGAUGGAGUUAUUUUAAACAUUAUGUUAGAAUAUAGAUUUUUUUUUAAAAUGCUAAUAAGCACAGUUAAUUCUAAAAUGAUAGGAUUGUUACAAGAGGGAGAUGUUACAGUUAAUCCACAAUCAACAUGUUGAUGGUAGGGAAAAAACUGUGUAAAAACUAUUGUAUUAUGUAUGAUAAGAAAGUAAGUAUUCUAAAGGGAUAAUCUUGCAUAUUAAGAAAACUCCAAAUAAUAUUUAAAUUGCCUUGAAAAGUAAACCUCUGUGACCGCUGAGUGGCAGAGUGCUUACCCUUGGUUUUCUUGAUUUUAUAUAGUUAUUUCUAAGGGGAGAAAAAGGGGUCAGAGUAAUACAAUACAUUUUCUUAAAAACCUCUCUUAAGUUGCACAAAAUUGAACAAUCAUCAAGCACUUAUUUACUGGCUACUGUUGAAUAAAUUAGGGUGCCUUCAUCUGGGUUUUCUUUAG